UAUUAAAAAUUUUAUUCAUUAUUACCGUUAAAAUUGACGUGGCUGAUAGAAUAAUUAAAUAGUAACUUGUGGCAUGCCACAUGAACCUCUUACAAAGACUAGUUUUUAAUAGUAGAAAUAAAUAUAAUUUUUAAUA
This 136-nucleotide microRNA precursor is filed under the name Gossypium hirsutum (cotton). Its description in RNAcentral is "MIR7502 microRNA precursor family". It matches the Rfam family "MIR7502 microRNA precursor family". The record is from Rfam by way of RNAcentral. Lineage: Eukaryota; Viridiplantae; Streptophyta; Magnoliopsida; Malvales; Malvaceae.